RNAcentral lists this ribosomal RNA (757 nucleotides) under Lichenothelia muriformis. RNAcentral's name for it is "SSU rRNA". It matches the Rfam family "Eukaryotic small subunit ribosomal RNA", at positions 42 to 820 of the family's 1831-position model. The record is from RNAcentral. Lineage: Eukaryota; Fungi; Ascomycota; Dothideomycetes; Lichenotheliales; Lichenotheliaceae.
GAUUAAGCCAUGCAUGUCUAAGUAUAAGCAAUCUAUACGGUGAAACUGCGAAUGGCUCAUUAAAUCAGUUAUCGUUUAUUUGAUAGUACCUUACUACUUGGAUAACCGUGGUAAUUCUAGAGCUAAUACAUGCUAAAAACCCCGACUUCGGGAGGGGUGUAUUUAUUAGAUAAAAAACCAAUGCCCUUCGGGGCUCCUUGGUGAUUCAUGAUAACUYAACGAAUCGCAUGGCCUUGCGCCGGCGAUGGUUCAUUCAAAUUUCUGCCCUAUCAACUUUCGAUGGUAGGAUAGUGGCCUACCAUGGUAUCAACGGGUAACGGGGAAUUAGGGUUCUAUUCCGGAGAGGGAGCCUGAGAAACGGCUACCACAUCCAAGGAAGGCAGCAGGCGCGCAAAUUACCCAAUCCCGAYGCGGGGAGGUAGUGACAAUAAAUACUGAUACAGGGCUCUUUUGGGUCUUGUAAUUGGAAUGAGUACAAUUUAAAUCCCUUAACGAGGAACAAUUGGAGGGCAAGUCUGGUGCCAGCAGCCGCGGUAAUUCCAGCUCCAAUAGCGUAUAUUAAAGUUGUUGCAGUUAAAAAGCUCGUAGUUGAACCUUGGGCCUGGCUGGCCGGUCCGCCUCACCGCGUGCACUGGUCCGGCCGGGCCUUUCCUUCUGGGGAGCCGCAUGCCCUUCACUGGGCGUGCCGGGGAACCAGGACUUUUACUUUGAAAAAAUUAGAGUGUUCAAAGCAGGCCUUUGCUCGAAUACAUUAGCA